This 378-nucleotide unclassified non-coding RNA is filed under the name uncultured Muribaculaceae bacterium. RNAcentral describes it as "contains 16S-23S intergenic spacer region". The record is from RNAcentral. Lineage: Bacteria; Pseudomonadati; Bacteroidota; Bacteroidia; Bacteroidales; Muribaculaceae.
UCACAGCUUGCGCCGGCAGUCCCGCCAGAGUUCCCGGCUUUACCCGUUGGCAACUGGCGGUAGGGGUUGCGCUCGUUAUGGCACUUAAGCCGACACCUCACGGCACGAGCUGACGACAACCAUGCAGCACCUCGCAGGAGACUCCGUAGAGCUGCCUCCUUUCAAAAACAUCCCUCCUGCGUUUGAGCCCGGGUAAGGUUCCUCGCGUAUCAUCGAAUUAAACCACAUGUUCCUCCGCUUGUGCGGGCCCCCGUCAAUUCCUUUGAGUUUCACCGUUGCCGGCGUACUCCCCAGGUGGAAUACUUAACGCUUUCGCUGUAUCACGCACUCCUCAUUCGGAGCACACAAUUAGUAUUCAUCGUUUACUGCGUGGACUAC